RNAcentral lists this ribosomal RNA (440 nucleotides) under uncultured bacterium. RNAcentral's name for it is "partial 16S ribosomal RNA". It matches the Rfam family "Bacterial small subunit ribosomal RNA", at positions 338 to 795 of the family's 1533-position model. The record is from RNAcentral.
CCUACGGGUGGCAGCAGUGGGGGAUAUUGCACAAUGGGGGAAACCCUGAUGCAGCGACGCCGCGUGUAGGAAUACGGUCCUCUGGAUUGUAAACUACUGUCCCCAGGGACCAAGAUGACGGUACCUGGGGAGGAAGCUCCGGCUAACUACGUGCUAGCAGCCGCGGUAAUACGUUGGGAGCGAGCGUUGUCCGGAAUGACUGGGGGAAAAGGGAGCGUAGGCGGGGAUGCAAGUUGGGUGUUAAAUCUACCGGCUCAACUGGUAGGCGCACUCAAAACUGCAGCUCUUGAGUGAAGUAGAGGCAGGCGGAAUUCCUAGUGUAGCGGUGAAAUGCGUAGAUAUUAGGAGGAACACCAGUGGCGAAGGCGGGCUGCUGGGCUUUUACUGACGCUGAGGCUCGAAAGUGUGGGGAGCAAACAGGAUUAGAUACCCCGGUAGUC